GGGUCGUUAGCUCAGCCGGUAGAGCAUCGGACUUUUAAUCCGCUGGUCGUGCGUUCGAGCCGCACACGACCCA
Molecule: transfer RNA, 73 nt
Filed under: Gammaproteobacteria bacterium
Lineage: Bacteria; Pseudomonadati; Pseudomonadota; Gammaproteobacteria
Description: tRNA-Lys
Rfam family: tRNA
About the family: Transfer RNA (tRNA) molecules are approximately 80 nucleotides in length. Their secondary structure includes four short double-helical elements and three loops (D, anti-codon, and T loops). Further hydrogen bonds mediate the characteristic L-shaped molecular structure. tRNAs have two regions of fundamental functional importance: the anti-codon, which is responsible for specific mRNA codon recognition, and the 3' end, to which the tRNAs corresponding amino acid is attached (by aminoacyl-tRNA synthetases). tRNAs cope with the degeneracy of the genetic code in two manners: having more than one tRNA (with a specific anti-codon) for a particular amino acid; and 'wobble' base-pairing, i.e. permitting non-standard base-pairing at the 3rd anti-codon position.
Source: RNAcentral